This 400-nucleotide transfer-messenger RNA is filed under the name Lachnospiraceae. RNAcentral describes it as "Wujia sp017625335 Standard tmRNA". It matches the Rfam family "transfer-messenger RNA". Rfam says of the family: Bacterial tmRNA, also known as 10Sa RNA or SsrA, is named for its dual tRNA and mRNA-like properties. Its role is to liberate the mRNA from a stalled ribosome. To accomplish this part of the tmRNA is used as a reading frame that ends in a translation stop signal. Lineage: Bacteria; Bacillati; Bacillota; Clostridia; Lachnospirales. The record is from RNAcentral. RNAcentral also lists the same sequence under 1 other name.
GGGCUUGACUUGGUUUCGAUGGGGCACAUGAAAUUAAAUAAGCGUGCGGCGGAGCGUGGACACCGCCUCAAAAAGACACAACAAAAUAAAUGCUAAAACAAGCAGACCCGUAGCUCUUGCAGCUUAAUUGCUGUAAUCUACAAACGAUACUAGUUAUCGUCUCAAGCUGUUAAGUAGUGUUGGUCACGAGCUAACGCUUAAUGGUUAAAACUAAUUCGUGGUAUCUACUGAUGGGCAAUGGCGAGGGCAUAUUCAGAGAUUAUAAUGAUGCUAUAGCGACCAAUAUGGAGGAAGAUGAACCACCAAGUUGGAGUUAUUCAAAUAGUAAAAAUCAUCUGCGCACGGAGAAAGUUUAGUUGAUUUGUUUCAGACAGGGGUUCGACUCCCCUCAGGUCCACUU